GACGAACGCUGGCGGCGUGCUUAACACAUGCAAGUCGAACGGAAAGGCCCUGCUUUUGUGGGUUGCUCGAGUGGCGCACGGGUGUGUAACACGUGAGUAACCUGCCCUUGACUUUCGGAUAUCUUCAGGAAACUGGGGCUAAUACCGGAUAUGAGCUCCUGCUGCAUGGUGGGGGUUGGAAAGUUUCGGCGGUUGGGGAUGGACUCGCGGCUUAUCAGCUUGUUUGUGUGGUAGUGGCUUACCAAGGCUUUGACGGGUAGCCGGCCUGAGAGGGUGAACGGCCACAUUGGGACUGAGAUACGGCCCAGACGCCUACGGGAGGCAGCAGUGGGGAAUAUGGCACAAUGGGCGGAAGCCUGAUGCAGCAACGCCGCGUGCGGGAUGACGGCCUUCGGGUUGUAAACCGCUUUCGCCUGUGACGAAGCGUGAGUGACGGUAAUGGGUAAAGAAGCACCGGCUAACUACGUG
RNAcentral lists this ribosomal RNA (468 nucleotides) under uncultured bacterium. RNAcentral describes it as "partial 16S ribosomal RNA". It matches the Rfam family "Bacterial small subunit ribosomal RNA", at positions 28 to 507 of the family's 1533-position model. The record is from RNAcentral.